Molecule: ribosomal RNA, 520 nt
Filed under: uncultured Glomus
Lineage: Eukaryota; Fungi; Glomeromycota; Glomeromycetes; Glomerales; Glomeraceae
Description: SSU rRNA
Rfam family: Eukaryotic small subunit ribosomal RNA
Source: RNAcentral
AGCAGCCGCGGUAAUUCCAGCUCCAAUAGCGUAUAUUAAAGUUGUUGCAGUUAAAAAGCUCGUAGUUGAAUUUCGGGAUCAGUAGGUUGGUCGUGCCACCGGUAUGUACUGGCCUUGCUGGUUCCUCCUUCUUGAAGAACCGUGAUGUCAUUAAUUUGGUGUUGCGGGGAAACAGGACUGUUACUUUGAAAAAUUAGAGUGUUUAAAGCAAGCUAACGCUUGAAUACAUUAGCAUGGAAUAAUAGAAUAGGACGUUCGAUCCUAUUUUGUUGGUUUCUAGGGUUGACGUAAUGAUUAAUAGGGAUAGUUGGGGGCAUUAGUAUUCAAUUGUCAGAGGUGAAAUUCUUGGAUUUAUUGAAGACUAACUACUGCGAAAGCAUUUGCCAAGGAUGUUUUCAUUAAUCAAGAACGAAAGUUAGGGGAUCGAAGACGAUCAGAUACCGUCGUAGUCUUAACCAUAAACUAUGCCGACUAGGGAUCGGAUGAUGUAAUUUUUAAUGACUCAUUCGGCGCCUUACGG